RNAcentral lists this ribosomal RNA (460 nucleotides) under uncultured bacterium. RNAcentral describes it as "partial 16S ribosomal RNA". It matches the Rfam family "Bacterial small subunit ribosomal RNA", at positions 338 to 795 of the family's 1533-position model. The record is from RNAcentral.
CCUACGGGUGGCAGCAGUGAGGAAUAUUGGUCAAUGGACGAGAGUCUGAACCAGCCAAGUAGCGUGAAGGAUGACUGCCCUAUGGGUUGUAAACUUCUUUUAUAUGGGAAUAAAAUGUUCCACGUGUGGGAUUUUGUAUGUACCAUAUGAAUAAGGAUCGGCUAACUCCGUGCCAGCAGCCGCGGUAAUACGGAGGAUCCGAGCGUUAUCCGGAUUUAUUGGGUUUAAAGGGAGCGUAGGUGGAUUGUUAAGUCAGUUGUGAAAGUUUGCGGCUCAACCGUAAAAUUGCAGUUGAAACUGGCAGUCUUGAGUACAGUAGAGGUGGGCGGAAUUCGUGGUGUAGCGGUGAAAUGCUUAGAUAUCACGAAGAACUCAGAUUGCGAAGGCAGCUUACUGGACUGCAACUGACACUGAGGCUCGAAAGUGUGGGUAUCAAACAGGAUUAGAUACCCCUGUAGUC